Molecule: ribosomal RNA, 497 nt
Filed under: uncultured bacterium
Lineage: Bacteria
Description: partial 16S ribosomal RNA
Rfam family: Bacterial small subunit ribosomal RNA
Source: RNAcentral
GAUGAACGCUGGCGGCGUGCCUAAUACAUGCAAGUCGAGCGAACAGACGAGGAGCUUGCUCCUCUGACGUUAGCGGCGGAUGGGUGAGUAACACGUGGAUAACCUACCUAUAAGACUGGGAUAACUUCGGGAAACCGGAGCUAAUACCGGAUAAUAUAUUGAACCGCAUGGUUCAAUAGUGAAAGACGGUUUUGCUGUCACUUAUAGAUGGAUCCGCGCCGCAUUAGCUAGUUGGUAAGGUAACGGCUUACCAAGGCGACGAUGCGUAGCCGACCUGAGAGGGUGAUCGGCCACACUGGAACUGAGACACGGUCCAGACUCCUACGGGAGGCAGCAGUAGGGACUCUUCCGCAAUGGGCGAAAGCCUAACGGAGCACCGCCGCGUGAGUGAUGAAGGUCUUCGGCUCGUAAAACUCUGUUAUUAGGGAAGAACAACUGUGUAAGUAACUAUGCACGUCUUGACGGUACCUAAUCAGCACGCCACGGCUAACUACGUG